Molecule: long non-coding RNA, 497 nt
Organism: Salvia splendens (bonfire salvia)
Lineage: Eukaryota; Viridiplantae; Streptophyta; Magnoliopsida; Lamiales; Lamiaceae
Exons: 3
Source: RefSeq, a predicted model, not a curated record
CACUCUGAAAAGCUUAAUUUUGAACAAAAGUAUUUUCUCUGUUUUUGAAGAGAGAAAUUACUCGAAACCUCUGCCCUAAUUCCACCUUCUUUCGUUCUCUCGUUCAACAUAUGGAUUGAGCUCCGAAAAUGGCGCAUGUUUCAAAUUUCUCAUUGCCCGAGAUCCUCCCUGUCCGUUAUCAUAAUUCAAAGCUCCUCUAGAUUUUUCAGGAUUUGGGUUCUUACCAAUAAGUACCCUGUCAAGAAUGCGUACAAAGACAGUUCCGUUGCGUAGCUUUUCUGGACAAAAAGCGCCCAAGUUCCGGCCACCAGUGCGCACAAUGAUCCGGCUGCAAUGCCACACAGGAAGCAGAACGAGCUAGUGAGCAAUUUGCACACGAGAACAUGAACUCAUCCACGUCUCCUGUAAGCAAACCUGUGGCACGAGCCAAACCCCGGAUAACACCAAGAACCGGAACAAGAAUUGAGCCAAAGCACACUCUCCCUAUCGAGUUCAUA